GGACUCACAGGGCCAUACAAGUUAUGUGCAGCGCCCCUACGCUACAAAUCAACAAUCUCUAGCGCCCCAAAGCUCUUCAUCAGUACAAAAGCCAAGUUCCCAGUUCCCCAGCACCCAUAUACGGUGUCCCACAGCGCCCCGGCGCUAGCCAUCCGAGGGCAUGGUACGCAUGCAGCGCCCCGGCGCUGUCAUCCCAGUAUAAUCCAGCGCCCCAGCGCUAUAGGAGUGCUUUAAAGACUGCUGCUCAGCGCCCCGGCGCUCAACUCUUGCAUAAUUACAACGCCCCGGCGCUAGGGAUAUUACUCAGUUACUGCAGCUCAGCGCCCCGGCGCUCCCUACACGGUAAAACACAGCGCCCCGGCGCUGGGGCUAGAUUAAGAGUCCUAUUACACCACAACAACUAUUCAGUUCCACUCCUUUCCUGCUAACUCCUUCACACGUCUCCACCACUACACAUCCCCUGCACUCAUAUGGUAACUGCUCCUUGAAAUUUUUAUAUAAUUGCAUAUUGUCUAACAUAAUUCCGUAUAUCACAUUCGGUGCCUCAGUUUGCGAAGUAUGUUUCAUCUACUAUCUCUAGUCCAAGGUAUGUGCUGCAUUAAAUUCAAAUUUUUGUGGAACCAAAUCUUCUUGAUUGCAAAAAUGGUGAGUUAAUAUUCACCUUGAUUCAUCUUUUCCAUUUCUAAGGUGCUUAUUACCGUUCUUCUGUUUGGCUAAUUCCUUUUGCAUGCGUGUGAAUCACUUCCAAUUGGGAUGUCACGCAUGUGUGUUGUAGUCAAUGGUGAUUAACUGCUUGGGGUUUGGAUUUCUAUGCUAAUAGGGGUGUUCAAAAAGAAAUAUAAUCUGCCCACAAGGUGUUCAAUAUUUUUCCUGAGUCAAUUGUCUUGUUAAUCUCACACAACAACUUAUCCAACACUUAAUUCACUUGCAUACUUGCCAUCCCAAUACCAUAGGUCUCCUGUUAGAUAGGUAUAUUAUCAGAAUGGGGGGGCUAAACUAUAUUAAUGCAUACCUGGGUUCAUAUUUCUACGGGACUAUUGAUUUGUCGGAUUUGCACAUGCAUUGACUACUUGAUCGUAAUUGCUCAAAAUUUUGGCCUAUAUGUCAUGUCCAUAGUUAUUCGCUACCCAUGUACCGAAUGUAUGUACCCAUGUACCCAUGUUACAUCUUGUUGACGUACCUUGUUCUUCAUUUUCCAAUUGCACUAUUUGAAUGUAAAAUGAGACUACUUAGUAAAUUUUGUACUUUUAUACUACUAUGUGUCUCACCACACUCCCAACCAUGUUACACAACGCGAACUUAUUUUGUAGUUUGGGGGUAGUGCUAUAGGUACGUAUGUCCAUAUAAGAUUUAUGCCUAAGUCUAAUACAGUGCAUGUAAUUUCCUUGAAGAAUUUUCUAAAUGGCCUCGAAGCGUCAACGCGGAGAAGGUUCCGGGUCAGCCUCGGCUCCUCCAAAAUUUGACAGUCGUCGGUUCGUUAGUGUCGCAGCUCAAGAACGCUACAACCGUAUAGCUACCCACUCAUUAGUCCCCGAACGUGGUUUAAGGCCCGAUCAAACCAAGGAUGGGGACAUGGCGGUCAUAAUUGCUGAGAGGAAUUGGUUCACACUCACCGCACAACCCAAACCGGCAGUGAUUGCAGUCAUUAAAGAGUUCUACUCCAACAUUUUAGAGCAUUCACACUAUAGAGUGUAUGUGCGAGGCAAAUUUGUUGAAUUCGGCGAAGAGGACAUCAACGGUUGUUAUCAGUUUCCAUUGGAGGGACAACAUAAUGAUUAUGCCAGUCUUGUAAGUCAAGGACCAGACUAUGAAACCAUAAUACGCGAGCUUUGUCAACUGGGCACCAUAUGAACAUUGCAUGAAUGUGGCAGCAUGACAUUCCCUCUUUCGCACCUCAGUUUAUAUGGAAAGGCUUGGUAUGCCUUUAUUUGCGCCAAGCUUAUGUCGUGCACACAUGUGAGCCAUGUCACCAAGGAGAGGGUUGUGCUGCUGCAUUCCAUAAUUCAAGGCUUGAAAAUUAAUGUCGGCCUCGUCAUUCAGCAAUCAAUUCUGCGAGCUGCACGAGAAGGUACCACGGGAGGUUUACCCCAUCCAUCUCUCAUUUGCAUUUUAUGUGUGAAAUUUGGGGUCAAAUGGAAGUCAGAUGAGAUGAUUCAAACCCCAAUGCCGGUGUUGGACCAUAAGUUAAUCAGCAGGUAUAUAGUAUGGAUUGGUGGGGUGAACCACCCUCGGGGAUUGAGUUUUAUAAUUCCCCAAGUUGAAGCUCCACAAGCUUCACAACCUUCGGCCCCACCCACUUAUGGUCCUUCCUCUGCAGCGCACCAUGGUGUUGUUCCUGAGGCCGUCCAGCGUGAAAUUGAUGGUUGAUUCUACAAUCUUGAAUUCCAGAAUGUCCGCCUGUCAAAACAUCAAGAUGUGAUCUACAAGUUUAUGGUCGACUACUUCACUACCUAGAAUGUUAUUUAUGCUCAAUUAUACCCAGGAAUUAAUCUUAGCCAUUUCCCUACUGCUCUUGUUCUGCUUGUUUUUCCCCUUCUGAUUAAGAGAUGAGCGAGGAUGAUGCACCUGCGGAAUAAGCUCGUCAGGGAAGUCCUCUAUUUUAUAUUGUUAUAUUUUUUGCAUGAGGACAUUGCUCUUUAUAAGUUUGGGAGUAGUUUAGUUUCUAUUUGCAUUAGUAGAUGCCAUGUUUUUAGUAGUUUGUGGAUAGUAUGUUUUUAUUUUUUUUGUUACGUGUUGCAUUUAGGAUUUUAUAAAAUUCCAGCUAUUUAAUAGUUUAAGUAUAUUCGGGGCCAAUGAUGAAAUUGAAAUUGCAUGAACAAGUCUAGUAAAGAUUGUUAAGCUGGUGUUGUGAUGUUCUUGAUAUGAUUUAAAUCUUUAUCUGUUUGAAACUGAUAUUGUCAUGAUAGCACAUGUUAAGAAACGACCAUGUUAGCUGAUUAAGUUUAAAUGGAUAGAUAAUAGAUUUCUAAAGGAUAAAUACUAGUUGAAUGAAAGAACAACAUGAAUAGCUAGUGAUGGCUGAAGUUAGACAUGAAUUUAAGUUUGGGGGGAAAUAAUUGGAGUAUAUAAGCUUAAAAAAAAUUGUGGCUAGUUUUGUUUCGGGGCCUUUGUUACUUGAGCAAGUAAGCCCGAGGGAGUGUCUCUACACCUAGCGCCUAAAGGUCUUAUAUGGUCUGGGAGUCAUUGGUCGAAAGCUCGCUAAGGGGUAGCACUGUUAGCCUAAUGGAAUGAGACAUUGCACAGUCAUGGAAAAUAAAAAAAAUGAAUAAGACGGGAAAAAGUGCAAAAAGCCCCCAUUAAAAAAAUUAAAAUAAAAUAAAAAUAAAGCAUAAGUAUUCCAUUUUGACCCUUGGACUUUGGUAAUUGUUUGAUUUUAGCCGAAUCUAGUUUAUUUGAGGAGUUCUCGAGUUUACACUGUAUGAUGCCUUCUAAGAAAUCUAUUAUGUUUUGCAUUUUGUUUUUCAUCAGUUAGCAUGGUUGUUGACCACACACACAUGAUAUCAGUAAUAACAGGUUUAGAUUUAUUGAUUGUUGGGAAAUUAUUGAUCUGUCUUGAUAUGAUGUACUAGAAUGUUAUUGUAAUUUUUCUGAGGCCUAAUGAGUAUACGGUGUUCUAUUCGAUUGCUGGAAUUACAAACAUGUAGAUAGUUAUAUGUGCAUUUGCAUGGGUUAGUUAGUUUUUCUUGUUGCAUUGUGUUUUGUCGCUUGAGGACAAGCAACGAUUUAAGUUUGGGGGUAUUUGAUGAUUGGGUAAUAUACCCAUGAAUUGAAUAUACUUGAGCUUAAAUUAUUGUAUUCUCAAGUCUUUUAGUAGAAUUUUUACUGUGUUUAGUUAUUAUUUUGCAGAUUCGGGAGACGCAGGGACAAAUUAGGGAUUUGAGCUAUUUAAUGGCAAUUUUGUAAUUAAAUCAAAGGGCAGCGCCGGGGCGCUCUAAAUGAACUAUUGUUCAGCGCUGGGGCGCUGAAGCACAGAUCUAGUUGACCAAGGCGCGUGCAAGGGAAGAAUUUGAUGUGGAAUAGGAAAAGAGGUAAGACAUUGAUUGGGAUUAGGACCGAGGCAACAUGGAGAAAGAGUAUAUAAAGACUAAUUAGCUGAAAUUAAGGAAUAAUCAAUCAUAAUUGGAGGCUAAUUAAGGAAUCACUUGAAGAUUGAAGAUUGAAGCUUGGGAGAUUUUCUUUAGAGUUUCUUCUUCUCCUUAUUUUCAAAUUGUGUAAUUCUUUAAGGAUGAUUUUCAUGCGAUUGUUGGUUUUAAUUUUUAUUAUGAACUAAUUCUUUUAUUAAGACUACAAAUUGAAC
RNAcentral lists this long non-coding RNA (4297 nucleotides) under Panax ginseng (ginseng). RNAcentral's name for it is "long non-coding RNA (PGIN_LNC009379)". Lineage: Eukaryota; Viridiplantae; Streptophyta; Magnoliopsida; Apiales; Araliaceae. The record is from RNAcentral.